CGGUAAUACCAGCUCUCCGAGUGGUGUGGAUGUUUAUUGGGCCUAAAGCAUCCGUAGCUGGCUAAGUUAGUCCCUUGUUAAAUCCACCGAAUUAAUCGUUGGAUUGCGGGGGAUACUGCUUGGCUAGGGGACGAGAGAGGCAGACGGUAUUUCCGGGGUAGGGGUGAAAUCCUAUAAUCCCGGGAAGACCACCAGUGGCGAAGGCUGUCGGCUAGAACGCG
This 221-nucleotide ribosomal RNA is filed under the name uncultured crenarchaeote. RNAcentral's name for it is "partial 16S ribosomal RNA". It matches the Rfam family "Archaeal small subunit ribosomal RNA", at positions 468 to 689 of the family's 1478-position model. Lineage: Archaea; Thermoproteati; Thermoproteota. The record is from RNAcentral.